This 505-nucleotide ribosomal RNA is filed under the name uncultured bacterium. Its description in RNAcentral is "partial 16S ribosomal RNA". It matches the Rfam family "Bacterial small subunit ribosomal RNA", at positions 29 to 523 of the family's 1533-position model. The record is from RNAcentral.
AUUGAACGCUGGCGGCAGGCCUAACACAUGCAAGUCGGACGGUAGCACAGAGGAGCUUGCUCCUCGGGUGACGAGUGGCGGACGGGUGAGUAAUGUCUGGGGAUCUGCCCGAUAGAGGGGGAUAACCACUGGAAACGGUGACUAAUACCGCAUAACGUCGCAAGACCAAAGAGGGGGACCUUCGGGCCUCUCACUAUCGGAUGAACCCAGAUGGGAUUAGCUAGUAGGCGGGGUAACGGCCCACCUAGGCGACGAUCCCUAGCUGGUCUGAGAGGAUGACCAGCCACACUGGAACUGAGACACGGUCCAGACUCCUACGGGAGGCAGCAGUGGGGAAUAUUGCACAUGGGCGCAAGCCUGAUGCAGCCAUGCCGCGUGUAUGAAGAAGGCCUUCGGGUUGUAAAGUACUUUCAGCGGGGAGGAAGGCGAUGUGGUUAAUAACCGCGUCGAUUGACGUUACCCGCAGAAGAAGCACCGGCUAACUCCGUGCCAGCAGCCGCCGUAA